UGGUGCCUUCUUAGCACAUAA
This 21-nucleotide non-coding RNA is filed under the name Caenorhabditis elegans. The record is from RNAcentral. Lineage: Eukaryota; Metazoa; Nematoda; Chromadorea; Rhabditida; Rhabditidae.